UACGUAGGGGGCAAGCGUUAUCCGGAUUUACUGGGUGUAAAGGGAGCGUAGACGGCAGCACAAGUCUGGAGUGAAAUCCCAUGGCUUAACCAUGGAACUGCUUUGGAAACUGUGCAGCUGGAGUGCAGGAGAGGUAAGCGGAAUUCCUAGUGUAGCGGUGAAAUGCGUAGAUACUAGGAGGAACACCAGUGGCGAAGGCGGCUUACUGGACUGUAACUGACGUUGAGGCUCGAAAGCGUGGGGAGCAAACAGG
Molecule: ribosomal RNA, 253 nt
Filed under: uncultured bacterium
Lineage: Bacteria
Description: partial 16S ribosomal RNA
Rfam family: Bacterial small subunit ribosomal RNA
Source: RNAcentral